Molecule: ribosomal RNA, 466 nt
Filed under: Flavobacterium sp.
Lineage: Bacteria; Pseudomonadati; Bacteroidota; Flavobacteriia; Flavobacteriales; Flavobacteriaceae
Description: bacterial SSU rRNA
Rfam family: Bacterial small subunit ribosomal RNA
Source: RNAcentral
UGCCGCGUGCAGGAUGACGGUCCUAUGGAUUGUAAACUGCUUUUAUACGAGAAGAAACACUCCUUCGUGAAGGAGCUUGACGGUAUCGUAAGAAUAAGGAUCGGCUAACUCCGUGCCAGCAGCCGCGGUAAUACGGAGGAUCCAAGCGUUAUCCGGAAUCAUUGGGUUUAAAGGGUCCGUAGGCGGUUUAGUAAGUCAGUGGUGAAAGCCCAUCGCUCAACGGUGGAACGGCCAUUGAUACUGCUAGACUUGAAUUAUUAGGAAGUAACUAGAAUAUGUAGUGUAGCGGUGAAAUGCUUAGAGAUUACAUGGAAUACCAAUUGCGAAGGCAGGUUACUACUAAUAUAUUGACGCUGAUGGACGAAAGCGUGGGUAGCGAACAGGAUUAGAUACCCUGGUAGUCCACGCCGUAGACGAUGGAUACUAGCUGUUGGGAGCAAUCUCAGUGGCUAAGCGAAAGUGAUAA